UACGUAGGCGGCGAGCGUUGUUCGGAGUUACUGGGCGUAAAGGGUGUGUAGGCGGUUGUUUAAGUUUGGUGUGAAAUCUCCCGGCUCAACUGGGAGGGUGCGCCGAAUACUGAAUGACUUGGAGUGCGGGAGAGGAAAGUGGAAUUCCUGGUGUAGCGGUGAAAUGCGUAGAUAUCAGGAGGAACACCGGUGGUGUAGACGGCUUUCUGGACCGUAACUGACGCUGAGACACGAAAGCGUGGGUAGCAAACAGG
RNAcentral lists this ribosomal RNA (254 nucleotides) under uncultured bacterium. RNAcentral describes it as "partial 16S ribosomal RNA". It matches the Rfam family "Bacterial small subunit ribosomal RNA", at positions 524 to 776 of the family's 1533-position model. The record is from RNAcentral.